AGAGAACCUGGCUCCACUUCAAAAGGCCUUGCUGGGUGCAGCACUAAAGAAGGGACAUUUGUCUUCUCUGUCCUCCUCGUCCUUGCACCACUGUUUCCCUCACUGGGACCUUCUUGCACUCCCAGCAAAAGCUGCCAUCGGACCAUCCAUUGAUGCUGCUGUGCAGCUCUGUGUUUCUAAACUGGAAAAACGUAAGAACGGCUUUAAAAGAAAAAAUUCUCACUCAUUUCCCAAGAAAUGGAUGCCAAUUACCAAUGCAAAAGAGUUUAGAUUUUAUAAUUAAUAAAAGUGUUAUAUGAUUGCAGAACUAAAAAUACAGGCAUGUGAAAAAUAUACAUGGGAGUUCCCAUCGGUCUGUGCACGUCUGUUUGAGAAACACAGGGUUGUAUGCUCACUCACAGCUUUGAGUGUUAGUCUUUCAAUGUUUAUUUGAAUUUUGACAAAGAUCAAACUUUUAAGCAAAGAGAAUGAAGCUUCAAUGACAGGAUUUCAGGCCUUGGGAAGAAGCAGAGGCAAAUUGGGAUAUUUUUGUACGAUCCUAGAAUUACAUGACAUUGUUAAUUACCUACUGUGUCUCUUGCUAAGGCUGGCCUUGAUGAACUUUCUGAUUGAAGCAAUUCAGGUAACUUUUAAAAUAAGGUCACCACACUAAAUUGAAAGAGACCAGAGGCCUCCUUAGCCACGUCAAGAACAUGACAAUUGCAGUAUCUGUUCUCUCAGGGAAAGAGCAAGUUUCAAGUUCAUUGCCAAGAUGCCUAUUGUGCCAAUCUGAUGCUUAAAUGAUUUUGUUUUUUUUGCUGAAGAAGAUAACAACAGCAGCCCUGAGACAACAUCUGUUGCCAAUCUUCCUCUUUUUGCUUGAAGAAGAUUGUCCCUGAGCUAACAUCUGUGCCAAUCUUCCUUUACUUUGUAUGUGGGACAGGGCCACAGCAUGGCCACAGUCAAGUGGUGUAGGUCUGCACCCAGGAUCUGAACCCGGGCUGUCAGAGUGGAACGUGCCAAAUUUACCACUGGGCCACGGGACUGGCCCCUUAAAUGAUUUUUAAGGAUAAUAUUCAGUUUAUCUAAAGAAACUUUGGGAAUAACCUGUGAUAUUAUUAACCAGAAAUCAAUCUUCUCAUCCACUGUCCACUUCUAAAACUUGGCUUGAAGGCUUUCUUGAAUAAUCCAGCUCCUCAUAUUUUCCAAUGCGCACUGCAGCAGAGCUGAAAUGGUUUUCUAUAAGCCUGCUUCCCUUACAUUUACAUUUAAAUUUUCCAUUUUUAGGCAUAAACCAGUUUAUUUUACCCAUCAAACUAAAUUUUAUUAAUUGGAUUUCCACCUGCAUGGCAGGAAGGGGAAGACGUAGGGUUGAGCACAAGCAAUCACACCAAAGGGAAGAAGGAAAGCCUUGAAUCAGAGAAAGCAGAGUUUAUUAAGAUAAGACUCCUGCUGUCACCAUCAUGACUUCUGUUACCACCUGGCUAGGUGGGACCCGUGCUGAGGUGCUGACCACGUGUCUGGGAUCGGUGUUCUCUUUCACAGCCGGCAAUACUUCUCAAACCCUGCUCCUGCACCCCAUUUAUGAUGAAAGUAAAGCUUUUUGCAUUCAGGUUGAACUGUUCACUUCUGGAUCACAUCAGCAGGGGCAGAAUGGCUGACUGUCUCACUCUUAAUGAUGUUAAGACUGAUCAGUUGGUUCAGGUGUCAGCCUGAUCCAUUCUUUGUAAAACUUCCCAUCAACUUUUCAGCUAAUGGUUUUAAGAACUCUGGGUAAUCAUUGCCUCAAGCCAUUAUUUCCUUCGGACCUGCAAAAUGAUGAUCGUCUCAUUUUUUAUUUCUUUUGCAUUGGUUGACUGGAAUUCUUCAAAAAACGGUAUUUCCUCAUCGACUAUUUAGUUAUCCUGAAAUAAGAGUGUGUACAGAAAAGACAAAAUAAAUACUUAAUUUUUUUCUUUUAUUUAGCAAUUUUCAGAAUGAGUUGGUGUCUAGCAAUCUCCAAUGACCAAUGUGUUGUUUUAUUCAU
This 2005-nucleotide long non-coding RNA is filed under the name Equus caballus (horse). RNAcentral's name for it is "lncRNA (ENSECAG00000049599.1)". The record is from RNAcentral. Lineage: Eukaryota; Metazoa; Chordata; Mammalia; Perissodactyla; Equidae.